This 535-nucleotide ribosomal RNA is filed under the name Aspergillus amstelodami. Its description in RNAcentral is "eukaryotic LSU rRNA". The stretch from base 166 to 319 matches the Rfam family "5.8S ribosomal RNA". The record is from RNAcentral. Lineage: Eukaryota; Fungi; Ascomycota; Eurotiomycetes; Eurotiales; Aspergillaceae.
GUAACCUGCGGAAGGAUCAUUACCGAGUGCGGGCCCUCUGGGUCCAACCUCCCAUCCGUGUCUAUCUGUACCCUGUUGCUUCGGCGUGGCCACGGCCCGCCGGAGACUAACAUUUGAACGCUGUCUGAAGUUUGCAGUCUGAGUUUUUAGUUAAACAAUCGUUAAAACUUUCAACAACGGAUCUCUUGGUUCCGGCAUCGAUGAAGAACGCAGCGAAAUGCGAUAAUUAAUGUGAAUUGCAGAAUUCAGUGAAUCAUCGAGUCUUUGAACGCACAUUGCGCCCCCUGGUAUUCCGGGGGGCAUGCCUGUCCGAGCGUCAUUGCUGCCCUCAAGCACGGCUUGUGUGUUGGGCUUCCGUCCCUGGCAACGGGGACGGGCCCAAAAGGCAGUGGCGGCACCAUGUCUGGUCCUCGAGCGUAUGGGGCUUUGUCACCCGCUCCCGUAGGUCCAGCUGGCAGCUAGCCUCGCAACCAAUCUUUUUAACCAGGUUGACCUCGGAUCAGGUAGAGGAUACCCGCUGAACUUAAGCAUAUCA